Felis catus (domestic cat) is the source of this 5930-nucleotide long non-coding RNA. RefSeq lists it as uncharacterized. The record is from RefSeq and is a predicted model, not a curated record. NCBI's taxonomy places the organism in Eukaryota, Metazoa, Chordata, Mammalia, Carnivora, Felidae. The transcript is spliced from 3 exons.
UCCUGGACCCGCCGCCGCUCCCGCCGCCCCGCGGUGCAGCCCGCCGAGCGUCCCGCCCGCGCCGCCGCGCCCCGCGCCCGCCCCUCUCCCGACCCCGCGGCGCCCCCGGCGGCUGGGCCUCGGUGGGGGGCGGGGAGGGGGGAGGGGGCGGGGUCAGGGCCUGGGGGUCCCCACCCCUACGGCUGCCUGCCUCUCUCAGUCGCUGUCUCAGUGCUUUGGUGUCUCUGGCUAAUUGUCUCUAUCUCUGCGUCUCUGAGUCUCUAACUCUGUCUCGUCUGACUCUCCGAUCUGGAGAGUCUUUCUGGGCCUGGGUGUCUCUCUCUCUCUCCCCCGUCCCUCUAUCUCGACCUUUGCGUCUUUCUCUGUUCUCACCGCCUCUGUCUCUAUUUAUUGUCUCUGUGUCUCUCACCAUCUCUGUCUCGCACUCGGCCUCUUCCCUAGGGAGGCAUGCCAAGCGGCCCCGGGCUCCCUAGGGCGCGGGUUCGAGUCCCGACUCCCACUUCCUCGCCCGGUGACCUUGACCAGGCACUUCCUUUCUCUGAGCCGUUUCCUCCUUUGCGGGAGCAGAAAGACGCACCCAGGUCAGGGGCUGCCCUCGGCGGGCGCCCGGGCGCUGUCCCUCUGCCAGCCCUGUCCCCAUCCCUGCCUCCUCCAUGUGUCCCAGCCGAGGGUCUGAACUUCGCUGGGGGUGGGGGGCGGUGCGGAAGGGCACAGGGAAACAGCGAGUGUCUCUCUCUCCGCGGGAUCCCUGCACACUCAGCUCGAGCUUCUGGGCAAAGAGUUGGUGAGAGACCAAGGAAGAGAGACACAGAGAGAUAGCAAGAGACGCGGAGACACAAGACCAGAGUCGGGGCGGCCGCGGCCUGGGCCCGGGGGCGGCGGGGUGCUAGUCCGGCCACCCCUUCUCCCCCACCUCCCCCUCCCGCCCGGGCGGGGUUGGUGGGUGGGGAACAGGCCGGGCGGGUUGGGGGCAUGACUCAGAGGCGGGCUGGAGCUAGUGGGCGGGGAGGGGCAGAGGCGGGCCUUUUCCGGGUCCCCGCCCCUGCCUCCCUUCUCUCCGCCCCGGGGAGGGGCCCCAGCGGCGCGGGGCUUUCCCGGAUUUCCCUUGAGGCGGGGCUGUCGCUGGGGUUGAGUCCGGGUCACUGAGUUACGGGAGGCCAAGGGGGAGGCUUUGGGGAUCGGGGGCGGGGGGCAGAGGGAUGGCGGCUGCACCCCGGAUCCGUCCGGGAGGCACGCAGGUCCCCCUGGCUCUCUCGUGUCUCGCCCUGUCUCUGCAACUCUGUCCCUGCAUCCCUGGCCCUCGGCUCCCUGUCUCCGGCCCCACCCCCUGUCUCUUUUUGUCUCCCGAUCUCUGUCUGUGUCUCUGUCUCCCUGGCGGCGUCUCUCUGCGACCCUGAAAGUGGGUGUGGGUCCCCGUCCCCAGGAAGGGACUUUGCCCACGACUCUGGCCCCACCCCGGUGGAUCGUUAACCAGGGAUGUGGGGAGCAGCUGUGGAGAGAGAGAAGCCUCACCCCUUCCCCCUUCUCUCCUUUCUGCCUCUCUCUGGGUGGCCCCCAAGCCCCCUUAGCCCCUGUAAUGGGGAAACAUUUGGGGGCAAGGCCUGGGUCCAGUCCCACCUCCACCAUUUGCUCCCUGUGGGACCUCAGGCGAAUCCUCUUGUCUUGAGACUCGGUUUGGUCUUCUGGCAAAUGGGACUGAUGUCAACCCCCUGCCUCCUCGUGUCGGGGGAGCUUCGCCCAGGGCAGGAAACGAAGGAAUUAGGCUGGAGAGUCUGGGUGCUGCCGUUCCCAUCCAGACAGCCCUCCCUCACCUGGGGAGGAGCACAGCCCUGCUGUACAAAAGGGGAAGUUGAGCCUCCGAGGGGGCGGGUUUUGUCAAGGUGGUGACCCUAGGAGGUUGAAAUGGAAGGACACCCAAGUUCCUCCUCCUCUCAGCCUCCCUAGGGCAGAUAGAGCGAUGGCUUUGGGCCCAGACGGGCCUGGGGGGGGGUGGUGGUGAGGGGGGUUAUGCAUUUGGCCCAGAAGGGGGUUUGGAGGGGCUGAGAGAGAAAGAGUGCUGGGGGGGUCUGAGUCUGAGGAUGGAUGACGGGUAAAAGUCUGAGGGAGGAGGACCUAAAGGAGGAAGACAGGUCUGAGAGAAGUAAAUGGUCUAAGAGAGGGGGAGAAGGGAGAGAGAAUCGGUCUGAGGGAGGAGGUGAGGGUCUGAGGGAGAGGAUGAAUGUCUGAGGGAGGAGGUGAGGCUCUGAGGGAGGGGAAGAAGGUCUGAAGGAGGAGGCACUGUCUGAGGAAGUCUGAGAAGGACCAAGUGAGGAAAGCAGCUCAGAGGGAGGAGGAGAGAGCUGGCUGGCGCGGGGCGGGGGGUGGGGGGUGGGUUGUGAUGGAGGAAGAGGUUUGAGGGUGAGGACAUGAGGGUCUGAGGACAGAGAGCAUGGUCUGAGGGAGGAGGAGCAGUUUGAGGAGGGCCUCCUUGGGCCAGAGGGAAGAGAGGAGUGCUUGGGACCAAGCAGCGACUGAGGGAAGGGAAGAGAAGGGAGGCCUGGAGUCAGCCCCGCCCUGCAGCUGUCUAAUUUCCCAGAAUCUUCUACUGCUCAGGAAAGUCCCAGCUCCCACAGCCGCCUCCCUCCAGUGUCGGGAAUGGAGGAUGCGGAACCAGGACGGCUGCCCCCUCCUUUCCCCCCUGGCUCCCAGCACCCCAGGCUGGGAGGACUAGGGUCUCCCCUCUCUGCGCUUGAGCUCCGGAGGUCCCCUGCCGGCAGGGGGCAGCCCCUGGAUGAGUCCCAGAAAGUUCCCAGAGAGAGCCCGGAAGUCCUGCAUGGUGUCUAACCACUUUCCCUCACGCGGGCUGCCUUUUGUAUCUGUGCAGAUCUUUUCUUCCCUCCCACUACUCCUUCCCUUCUACCCCUACCCCCAGGGAAGGAAGGGCUGAGCCCAUCCAAGGUCCCGAGAAGGAAACAAAGGCCUAGCUGGAAGGCUGUGGGCCUUGGGGCACUUUCUUGCUCUUGGGGGCCUUCCAAGAGGGGAGGAUAGUGCUUGUUAGAGACUAGAUUCCCAUUGGCUUAAUUCCUGGGCCUUUUCCUGUCCCAAGUUUUGCUCCCAACUGAGGCCCGAGCUUCUGUUUUCAUCAGCUGUGUGGCUUCCAGGCCAUUACUGAACUUCGUGGAGCCUCAACUUCCCCACCUAUCAGACAGACUAAAUCGAGACCCUAAUGCUUCCGUCCUCUAGGGCCCGAUGGAUAGGAAGUGCUAAAGGCAGUGUGGCUGCAAUUAUUACGAUCCCUAUUAUAACCACAGGAACAACAGUGAUAAUUAUUCCUAUCCAGGAACCUAAAGUUUCAACAGCUGGGCCCAUUUCAUUGAGGAAAUUGGGACCCAACAUGCUGGGCCUGGGAGAUAUGGGUUCGAGGCCCGGUUCUGCCAUGUGUCAGCUGUGUGUGACUUUGGAUAGGUCGCUUUCCCUCUCUGUGCCUUUGUUGGUGACUUGACUGUUGGGGAUCAUAACAGCUCCUGCCUCACAGGGUUGCAGAGCAGCUUGAGACCACGUGUACAGCAUGAAUAACUGAAUGAAUGAAUGAAUGAAUGAACGGUGUCCCUUCUUGCCUCCAUAUUGCCUGCCUUAACUCAUCGGGCCAGGCCUUCCCUGUAACCCUCUCCGCCCCGAGAUAAAGCAAGAUGGGCCCAUUCGCCGUGGGCUGAACUCCCAUGAAGAAUUGGCCCACGCAAUCCUCUUGACGUCUCGUGAGGAAAUCCAGCUGAAACUCCCAUUUUAGAGAUGCAACAGAGGAGCGGAGUCCCUGCUCAGGGUCAUCAAGAUUUUGUGCCAGGUCUCGGUGUCCCCUGCACCCGGGCUGCUGGGGCAAUCGGUCCCCGAGACCACAGGCCUUCCCCCUCCUGUCUAACUCCAGACCCCUAUCCCCUAAGAAGGGAAUGGCUCAGGAGGGGAAAACUCAGGCACAAAGAGGCAAAGUCACGGCCAGAGAUUAGCAGGGCUACAGUCGGUCUGCAGGCUCCGGGCACAGGGAGGGUCGAGCUGAUGGAGGCAAGGUCGCGUCGCAGCAGGAAGGUCUAGAUUGAGAUUGAAGAGAGGGUUCCGGGAAAGGGAGCAGAUUGCACAGAGGAGAACAGACCUGAGCCUGGAGCUGGGGGGCCCUGCCCAAGGUCACGCAGCUUUGGGCUGGGAUUCCACCCUGGGUUUGCAGACUGCCCUGCUCCCUGAGGCUGCCCUUCCCCCCACCCCCCAGGAGUGAUUACAGGCCAGCUUCCUGCAGCAUGGCCUGUACCUCCGGGUUCCUCCCCACCCUGGGGCCUUGGCAGCUUCUGGAACCCCUGGCACCAAGCAGGAUCGGCCCUUCUGGGGCCUUGGCCAAGACUUGAUCUUCCCCUUUCUCCCUCUUGCCGGGUCUGCACGCACGACGCUGAGUCAGAGGAUUGCGACAUCCUCUCCUCGGGCUUUGAGACCAGACAUCCUCUGCCCCGUGCACUGCCUCUAUCGGGCCAAGAUAUGGGAGUGGCAGAGGCUGCCUGGACCUCUCAAGAAAAGACAUGCGGCGUGGCUGCCCCGCGUGCAGAUGGCUGGCUGAGAGCCUCCCACAGUUGGUUCCUUCAAGUUCUGCCUCAGCUUGCCAGUCGGGGACACUAGCUCCUGGCAGCGUCUGGCCAUUGACUGAGCCAGGCAAGGCACCUCCUUUCUGGAAGACCGGAUCCGUGCCGAUGGGCUUUGGAGUCAGACAACUGGAGCACGAGUGUUGUCUCUGCCUGGGUGGCUUCGGAGCGGCAUCUGAUCUCUCCGAGCCUCAGUUUCCCCCUCUGAGUCACGGGAACGGUAACGUGACGGCUGAGAGGCUCCAGUGAGUCAGCAACGAAGCCCUUAGCACACUUACCUGGCACCCAUACGUCACCCUCAUCCAUCGGGAGGGAGACAAAUCUGGGCCUAUUUUCUACUCUGCCGGUUUCUGGCCUCUGAGCCUGGUCUGUAAGGUGGGGAUGGACCCUGUCCUUCCCCGAGUAGGGCGCCCUGAGUCAGGUGCGGAAAGCCCCGGCCAAGCCUGGCACACCAGAAGCUCGAUAGCCGGGUGGUGUCAUUAGGGCCACUGCCUUGAGGGGCUGAGCCGGCCAAGUCAUCUGAGGAACAGGUGAGCAGGGAGCUGUAGGGCAGGCAUGUCUCACCCCCAUGGGGCCCUGGUCUUGGGCUGACCAACCAAGGGAAGUCCCAGGGCUGGGAAACCGUGGCGUCCUCCUGUAGGAGCUCCCUGAUUCUGGGAUACACCACAGAGGUGGGGAGGAGGGAGGAGGAAGCCCCCUGCCUUGCUCAUUCAGUGGGCAAGAAGGGAGGGAGAAUGUACGAGAAAAAAAAAAAAAAAAAGUCGGUCUCCCUCGUCAGACUAGAGCAGACCUCCUCCAUCAGACUGGGAGGUCCCUGGGGUGGGGAUAGGUUCCCCUUCAGUGUAGGAGUUCCUUGUGCUUUUGAGUUGCGUUCUCCCUCCUCCAUCAGAUCAGGAUCUCCCUCAGAAGGGGGCGUGUGUCACUUGUCCACGGAUUAGAUUAUCUCUAAGAGUGAGUGAUGCCUCCCCUAUCAGACUGGGAAUUUUCCCCGGGGGGGGGGGGGUGUCUGGGGCAUGCCUCUCUGGGGACUGGGAGGUCGCUCGAGAUGAGGCGACAUGUUCCCCUCGUCUGUCUAAGGACAUCGGUUCUCAAUUGAGGGGGGCAAUUUUGCCCCCUUCGGGGGACAUCCAGAUGAGUAUUAGACUAGAGCUUCCUGAAGAUGGUGGGCAUGCCUCCGCCAUCGUUCUAAAGUUCCCUGAGCGUGAGUCUGGGUCCUGCCUCCUCCAUCGGACUGUUGUGCUGAGUUGUGGAGCUUGAAUUGGCCGUUGUAUGGGGAGCCCUGUGAGGGUGAGAUUAAUCUUAUCCCCAGCAUUAAAUGGGAAGUUUGGAUUA